CCCUCCUGUGAAAGAUGGUAACAUUAGUGCAAUCGCGUUAAUUCUGUUCAACAUUAAGUGGCACUUCUAACAGCGAAUCCUCUGAAAAAAUAGCAAAACGCAACAUUUAAAGAUACAUUUCAGUCCACCAGCUAGCUAACAAAUUUAACUAGUAGUAGGAGACAUCUUGAACAUACUGUGUGCACAUACCUUACACAUGGUCAUGUUCACAAGUUUAAACCCCUUUUUAUACUCUAAGAACUUACCCUGUCUCUGUGUUGCACCAUCGAAUCCUCCAUCUCCAGAUGCCGGUCAAGUGGGACCGUGUCGAAAGUGCUUGGAUUUUCAUUCGAUCCACGUGAAGCAUCUUCAACAACUUCUUGGAAUUACAGAUUAAGAGAAAGUGAUCUGUCUAUGAGGAAGUUCGAAAAUGGAGAUGUGGAAAAAUUUUGAUGACACAACCGUCGUCAUUUUGAAAGGGAACGUGGCGGAGAUCCUAGCCAUAGGCCAGGAGUUGCGUUUGGCCUGUUUGUCUCUGAGCAGGACUAAAUCCCCGACUUGUAGGUUUCUGCGAAGCGUCAUCCACUUCUGUCUGUGUUGUAAAUAAGGUAGGUAUUCUUGUCGCCAUCGUGCCCAAAACUGAUUUGCGAGAGCUUGGACUUGUCUCCACUGUUUCGUAUACAGAUCCUUCUCCGAGAAGUCACCAGGAGGAGGUGGGACUCUGGUCUUCUGCGUGAGGAACAUCGAUGGAGAGAGUAUCAGGGGGUUGUCUGGAUCUGUAGAUACUGGUAAAAGUGGUCGCGCGUUCAUAAUCACAGUGACUUCUGCCAUUAACGUAGAGAGCACUUCAUGGGUGAGGCAAGUGUUUAGCUGGAGCAACAUGGAAUCCAAGAUUCUUCUCGCGGUGCCUAUCAUUCUCUCCCAACAGCCCCCCAUAUGGGAAGCAUGUGGUAGGUUGAACUCCCAGACACAUCCUUGCUCACUUAGAUACCUUUGCAUGUUUGGGUCCAGCUGGCUUUUACCUAUCCCGAGUUCCUUGCUAGCGCCGAUGAAGUUAGUUCCGCGGUUGGACCGGGCCUUUAAUGGCAAAGAAGCGCCUGAGUGCAUUUAUGCAACUUGAUGUGCCUAAUGACUCUAUUAGCUCAACAUGAACAGCUCUUGAGCUCAUACAACUGAACAUGAUGGCCCAUCUCUUGCUUCCUGCUCGGGUCUGCCUAGCUGCGACUGACUAAGGACCAAAGACGUCCAGUCCCACAUAUGUAAACGGAGGGCAUGCCUGAAGGCGUUCGGAUGGUAAAUCUGCCAUGUGUUGUUCCUCGAGCUUCCCUCGGAGCUUCCUGCAUGUCGUGCAGUUGUGGAAUACUGAGUUUCUGAGUCUCUUGCCACCCAAGACCCAUAAUCCUUACAGCUCCCUCCGUGAUGUGAAGACCCUGGUGCUUCACUUGCUCAUGAUGGUGGCGUGUCAGCAGUAGGGAUACAUGGCUGUCUUUAGGCUAAAUUAUGGGUUGCUUUUCACCAGACUCCAGGUUGGAGUGUUGUAGUCGACCUCCGACACGGAUAAAGUUGUUCUCGAUGAUCGGGCUGAGCUUUUGGAGACAGCUGUUUUUGGGAAUUGGUUUUUGCGCUUGGAGAGCUGCAAGUUCCUUUGUGAAUUCUGACCUUUGUGACGCUUGAAGGACAACGUGUAUUGCUUAGUCCAGUUCCUCUGGGGUGCGAGGACGCUUACAUCUGUGCCACCCUUUGCACUCACGGUCUUCGUUCCUCUGUUUGCAGGAUCUGGCGAUGUGGAUGAGGAAGGCGACACCUCUGAGGAGUGAGCGGAGACUGGAGAAGCGUUGGAAGCGGACUGGGGUGAUGAUCUCAGGAAGGAUGGUCCGGAGAACCAGGUGGUCUGCGCCAGGCGAGAUGCAGGAUGGGUCUGUUGACCAGGACAGUCGCCAAGCACAAGCAAGGCACUACAAAACCCUUCAAGAGAUCUGCAAAAAACCCUAGCCAAAUAAUGAAGUUGUUUCCCAACUAUUCAACCUGGAAUUUGAAGCUAGAAGAACUUCUUUUGACUCGGACACACUCAAGGAGCAGGACAGACCCACCAAGAUUAUUGAAGCAUAUCCAUGUUUCAAGGAUCUGAAGCAUGUUCUUGAUGAACUAGGAAGGAUCAUUGACAGUUACAACCCCAACUAUCUCAGCAAGGUCAAGGAACGGUGUGACAGUUUCCAGACAAAAGCAACUUUUUAUGGUGUCAUGAAAAAACUCAUGAAACCUCAAGUUAUAUUAAGCGAUGAGGAAAAAACAAUAAACUUGUCAAAGGCCCUACCAGCCAUGUUUCCAUCUUCAACUGGUCCAUCAAAGAAGUUGAGACAAGAAACCCUCUGAAGACCCAGAUGUGUUCCUGAAGAAGAGAUACAUUUCUUGUCCUCACCUGGUUGUAGAUGAAGGAAAUUCAAACCGAGAUACUGAAGGAUGCCAUACAUGUGAGAGAUGCAACUCGGUCCUAUUGGAAAGCCAUGGCAGACUGGAACAAGUUUCUUGGCUAGUUUGUAUAAAUGGGACACUUGGUGACAGAUUUGUGUUUUCUUUUCUUUUUUUUUUGUACUCUGCAUCUGCAUCUUUUUGUGAAAUUUAGUUUUUCAAUCUUGGGUUUUUCUUAAGAGUGUUGUGCCUUCCUCAUGUUAAAUCAAUAAUGAAUAAUGUUCCAGACAUUCCAGAGUGUAUGCAAAACCAUUGAGUAACAUUCCUCCAGAAGGAAUGUAGUGUUACACUUAGAUUUACAACAUGUUUCAGAGAAGAAAAUUACUUUAUUAAGUCUAAGGAAUAUUGGGCCAUUUACUGUUUACAUAUCUAUAUUGUCUGCUCUCUUGGUUUGAAGCAGUUAGUCAGUGGGCUGGUUGUCUAAGAAUACGUAGUCUGACGGAACAUUCUGUGGAUGCUUGAAUUGCAAAUAAAAGUUUUGUUUUCAACCAAUUUCACUUGAUUCUGUUUAUUAGA
Anguilla rostrata (American eel) is the source of this 2964-nucleotide long non-coding RNA. RefSeq lists it as uncharacterized. The transcript has 8 exons. The record is from RefSeq and is a predicted model, not a curated record. Lineage: Eukaryota; Metazoa; Chordata; Actinopteri; Anguilliformes; Anguillidae.